UGCNAGUCGAGCGGUAGAGAGAAGCUUGCUUCUCUUGAGAGCGGCGGACGGGUGAGUAAUGCCUAGGAAUCUGCCUGGUAGUGGGGGAUAACGUUCGGAAACGGACGCUAAUACCGCAUACGUCCUACGGGAGAAAGCAGGGGACCUUCGGGCCUUGCGCUAUCAGAUGAGCCUAGGUCGGAUUAGCUAGUUGGUGAGGUAAUGGCUCACCAAGGCGACGAUCCGUAACUGGUCUGAGAGGAUGAUCAGUCACACUGGAACUGAGACACGGUCCAGACUCCUACGGGAGGCAGCAGUGGGGAAUAUUGGACAAUGGGCGAAAGCCUGAUCCAGCCAUGCCGCGUGUGUGAAGAAGGUCUUCGGAUUGUAAAGCACUUUAAGUUGGGAGGAAGGGCAGUUACCUAAUACGUGAUUGUUUUGACGUUACCGACAGAAUAAGCACCGGCUAACUCUGUGCCAGCAGCCGCGGUAAUACAGAGGGUGCAAGCGUUAAUCGGAAUUACUGGGCGUAAAGCGCGCGUAGGUGGUUAGUUAAGUUGGAUGUGAAAUCCCCGGGCUCAACCUGGGAACUGCAUUCAAAACUGACUGACUAGAGUAUGGUAGAGGGUGGUGGAAUUUCCUGUGUAGCGGUGAAAUGCGUAGAUAUAGGAAGGAACACCAGUGGCGAAGGCGACCACCUGGACUGAUACUGACACUGAGGUGCGAAAGCGUGGGGAGCAAACAGGAUUAGAUACCCUGGUAGUCCACGCCGUAAACGAUGUCAACUAGCCGUUGGGAGCCUUGAGCUCUUAGUGGCGCAGCUAACGCAUUAAGUUGANCGCCUGGGGAGUANNNCGCAAGGNUAAAACUCAAAUGAAUUGACGGGGGCCCGCACAAGCGGUGNAGCAUGUGGUUUAAUUCGAAGCA
This 906-nucleotide ribosomal RNA is filed under the name Pseudomonas sp. DGR-D3. RNAcentral describes it as "bacterial SSU rRNA". It matches the Rfam family "Bacterial small subunit ribosomal RNA", at positions 56 to 958 of the family's 1533-position model. The record is from RNAcentral. Lineage: Bacteria; Pseudomonadati; Pseudomonadota; Gammaproteobacteria; Pseudomonadales; Pseudomonadaceae.